GAUGAAGAACGCAGCGAAACGCGAUAAGUAAUGUGAAUUGCAGAAUCCAGUGAAUCAUCGAAUCUUUGAACGCACAUUGCGCCCGCCAGCAUUCUGGCGGGCAUGCCUGUUCGAGCGUCAUUUCAACCCUCGACCUCCCCUUGGGGAGGUCGGCGUUGGGGACCGGCAGCACACCGCCGGCCCUGAAAUGGAGUGGCGGCCCGUCCGCGGCGACCUCUGCGCAGUAAUACAGCUCGCACCGGGACCCCGACGCGGCCACGCCGUAAAACCCCCGACCCCCAUGAGUUUGACCUCGGAUCAGGUAGGAAUACCCGCUGAACUUAAGCAUAUCAAUAAGCGGAGGA
This 344-nucleotide unclassified non-coding RNA is filed under the name soil metagenome. Its description in RNAcentral is "partial contains 5.8S ribosomal RNA, internal transcribed spacer 2, and large subunit ribosomal RNA". The stretch from base 1 to 120 matches the Rfam family "5.8S ribosomal RNA", at positions 35 to 154 of the family's 154-position model. The record is from RNAcentral.